AUCGGUAGCUGGUCUGAGAGGACGAUCAGCCACACUGGGACUGAGACACGGCCCAGACUCUCGNGNNGACGACGNGGAGUUACGUCGUACUUACGCGAAGUCGACGACGCGACGACGACGACGACGGACGGAGGAGGACUGGUGUUACCGUUUCGUUACUUACCGUAGAGUAGUAGUAAGUCACGAGCGUACCGCGAGACGNGAGCACNGCUACUCCGUNNACCCGUACGGUCCGACCGACGGACGGUAACGGCCCGGGUAACGGGUAACGACGGGAACGUAAGUCGUACGAACGGUACGUUUACGUACCGGUUAAGGUACGUUAACGGUCCGGGUACCGUAACGGUCCGGUCCGGACGUAGGGUUACGACGUUACGUUACGUAACGUUCGUACGAACGGUUCCGGUACCGUAAAACGGGUACCGGGGUAACUUACCGUAACGGGUAACGACGUAGGUAACGAACGUACGUAAAACGAGUUAACGUAAGGGUAACGGUACGUAGGGGGUAACGGGUACGUUACGGGAAGGGUUAACGUUACCGGUGGUUAGUAACGGUCGGUAAGUAAAGUCGGUACGUAAGGAACGUAACGUACGAAGGUAACGACGUCGGACCGGUCCGGUACGACGGUCGUACCGGGUACGUAAGGUUACGGUACGGUACGGGACGACGGAACGGACGAACGUACGGGAGGUACGAG
This 700-nucleotide ribosomal RNA is filed under the name uncultured Gammaproteobacteria bacterium. RNAcentral describes it as "partial 16S ribosomal RNA". The record is from RNAcentral. Lineage: Bacteria; Pseudomonadati; Pseudomonadota; Gammaproteobacteria.